Mycena crocata is the source of this 94-nucleotide non-coding RNA. NCBI's taxonomy places the organism in Eukaryota, Fungi, Basidiomycota, Agaricomycetes, Agaricales, Mycenaceae. The record is from the annotation of a GenBank genome assembly.
GGCCUGAUAGCACAGUUGGAAGUGCUUCUGCUCUGCUUAACUUGAACUGUCUCUAAAUCAGCAGAAGAUCCCCGUUCGAUUCGGGGUCAGGUCA